Molecule: ribosomal RNA, 253 nt
Filed under: uncultured bacterium
Lineage: Bacteria
Description: partial 16S ribosomal RNA
Rfam family: Bacterial small subunit ribosomal RNA
Source: RNAcentral
UACAGAGGUCUCAAGCGUUGUUCGGAUUCAUUGGGCGUAAAGGGUAGGUAGGUGGUCUCAUUUGUCUGGGGUGAAAGCCUCGAGCUUAACUCGAGAAGUGCCCCAGAAACGGUGAGACUUGAGUCUUGGAGAGGGUUGCGGAAUUCCCGGUGUAGCGGUGAAAUGCGUAGAGAUCGGGAGGAACACCAGAGGCGAAGGCGGCAACCUGGACAAGCACUGACACUCAACUACGAAAGCGUGGGGAGCAAACAGG